CAGCCGCCACGGUAAUACGUAGGGUGCAAGCGUUAAUCGGAAUUACUGGGCGUAAAGCGUGCGCAGGCGGUUCUAUAAGACAGAUGUGAAAUCCCCGGGCUCAACCUGGGAACUGCAUUUGUGACUGUAGAGCUGGAGUGCGGCAGAGGGGGAUGGAAUUCCGCGUGUAGCAGUGAAAUGCGUAGAUAUGCGGAGGAACACCGAUGGCGAAGGCAAUCCCCUGGGCCUGCACUGACGCUCAUGCACGAAAGCGUGGGGAGCAAACAGGAUUAGAUACCCCGGUAGUCCCUGUCUCUUAUAC
RNAcentral lists this ribosomal RNA (301 nucleotides) under uncultured bacterium. RNAcentral describes it as "partial 16S ribosomal RNA". It matches the Rfam family "Bacterial small subunit ribosomal RNA", at positions 509 to 807 of the family's 1533-position model. The record is from RNAcentral.